Molecule: transfer RNA, 359 nt
Filed under: uncultured Microcystis sp.
Lineage: Bacteria; Bacillati; Cyanobacteriota; Cyanophyceae; Chroococcales; Microcystaceae
Description: partial miscellaneous RNA
Rfam family: tRNA (bases 135-208)
Source: RNAcentral
AAGGGAGACCUAAUUCAGGUAGGAGACGAAAAAAAAGUAGCCCCUACCAAGAAUCAAUCCCAAAAGGUCGGAGCGAGGCGAAAUUGGCUUUCAAACUAGGUUCUGGGUUCACACAAGACCUGAAUCAGGAACAAGGGCUAUUAGCUCAGGUGGUUAGAGCGCACCCCUGAUAAGGGUGAGGUCCCUGGUUCGAGUCCAGGAUGGCCCACCUGCACAGGUGGCAAAAACAAGAGAAGCGAGGAAUCAGCACCUUAUCUUACUUAUAUAGUAAGAGAGAAUGCUGGCUCUGAGUUCAGAGUCCAGAGGAACCUUGAAAACUGCAUAGAGCUAGGUGAAAAAGCCAAAAAAGAAGACCGCAA